RNAcentral lists this ribosomal RNA (234 nucleotides) under uncultured bacterium. RNAcentral describes it as "partial 16S ribosomal RNA". It matches the Rfam family "Bacterial small subunit ribosomal RNA", at positions 1268 to 1500 of the family's 1533-position model. The record is from RNAcentral.
CAAAUCCCAAAAAUAAACGUCCCAGUUCGGACUGUAGUCUGCAACCCGACUACACGAAGCUGGAAUCGCUAGUAAUCGCGGAUCAGAAUGCCGCGGUGAAUACGUUCCCGGGUCUUGUACACACCGCCCGUCACACCAUGGGAGUCAGUAACGCCCGAAGUCAGUGACCUAACCGAAAGGGAGGAGCUGCCGAAGGCGGGACGGAUGACUGGGGUGAAGUCGUAACAAGGUAGC